CGUGUAGGCGGUUUGUUAAGUCUGAUGUGAAAGCCCCGGGCUCAACCUGGGAAGUGCAUUGGAUACUGGCAGACUUGAAUACGGGAGAGGGCAGUGGAAUUCCUGGUGUAGGAGUGAAAUCCGUAGAUAUCAGGAGGAACACCGGUGGCGAAGGCGGCUGCCUGGACCGAUAUUGACGCUGAGACGCGAAAGCGUGGGUAGCAAACA
Molecule: ribosomal RNA, 207 nt
Filed under: uncultured delta proteobacterium
Lineage: Bacteria; Deltaproteobacteria
Description: partial 16S ribosomal RNA
Rfam family: Bacterial small subunit ribosomal RNA
Source: RNAcentral